This is a long non-coding RNA of Hordeum vulgare subsp. vulgare (domesticated barley), 278 nucleotides long. RefSeq lists it as uncharacterized. Lineage: Eukaryota; Viridiplantae; Streptophyta; Magnoliopsida; Poales; Poaceae. The record is from RefSeq and is a predicted model, not a curated record. The transcript is spliced from 4 exons.
CCUGCUACAGCAUUAGAGGAAUAUGUACACUUACAAGGCAGAUCAUCAAUUGGUCAUACUGUUAUAAUGACCGAAGGUCAUGAAGUUGCCGACUUUAAGCUGCAUUUUCAGCACUGGCCGAAGAAUGGUGUGCAGAAGUUGUACGAGGCAGGGCGGGAGAAAGUGGCAGCAAUUUUCAAGCAUCAGGGCUAUGAUGUUGCAGAAAUUCCAGAUGAUAAACCUCGGCAGCUCAUCAGUAGUAAUGGUUGUUUGAAGGUUUGGCUGGUGGACCGUGGUUG